Molecule: unclassified non-coding RNA, 4605 nt
Filed under: Hevea brasiliensis (rubber tree)
Lineage: Eukaryota; Viridiplantae; Streptophyta; Magnoliopsida; Malpighiales; Euphorbiaceae
Source: RNAcentral
AAAAGUUUUCCAUUGCCAAACAAGUAAAUAACCCCACUUGUUCUCGUUCAACAAAAAUGCCAAAGGCAAUAUCAUGCCCUUUUUAAAAAGACAAGGCGGCUUCAAACUGAAAAUCCUAAUGGGAUUCAUUGUGAAAACUUGAUGAAUAUUAAAUAAACCAAAAAAAGAAAAAACUAUAAAGUAGCAGCUGCCAAAAGAUUCAAAUAAUCAUACGAAUAGGUAAGUUGAUGCUUCUAUUGUUAAGAGUAUCUUGUCCAAUUUGUUCCAAGUAAAUAACAUGCUGACUAAUAAAUAGGCAUGUUUGAAGAACAUAGCAGGCAACUUGAGGCAAUCCCAAAUUAUAUAAUAUUCAGGAGAACUAGCUAUAUCAAUUCUUAGGGUUGUCCUUGGCUUUCUUCAUAUUAUGAAAUAGCUCACCAAGUUGCAAUUCACAGGCAGCUUGUGUCUCGGGGGCCAAUUCUUUAAGGAAUGAUUUCGUAAUGUCAUGGAUUGACACAAUCUGGAAGAUCUUACCACAAAACUUGCGCACCUCAGCCCGCCUUGACUUGUUUUCUGGCAUAUUCAUCACCAAUUCCUUUACCAGGUGACUGAGCUUUUGCAGAUGGUUUUUCAACAUCUUUUUUGAUGCAUUGCGGCUGCUUUCGUCAGUGCCAGAAGAAACCAUCGACUUCAAAAUUUCCAUCACUAAAUCAAGCGCAUCAACUCGGCGAAAUUCAGACUUUGCACUGCCACAUUUCUCCAAAAGGAAGCCAAAUAGAUGGUGCCCAAUCCAUGGCCUUCUUCUGAAUAUUUCUUUCAAAAAUUCAGAUUUUAUUUGAGACUUUUUACUGUCAAAAUAUCCCACCAACACCCCUUUAAAAAUAUCAAAAACUCUCUGCAGUUCAGAAUCAGAAAAUUUUCUGGCAUCAAUGAUUUUCAGAAUCCAAUAGGUUGAAUUCUGGGCAAGGGAAAUAAUCAUUUUGUGGCGCUUCCAUGAGGCUGACUGCUUCUUCUUUGAUGGAACUGCAGAUUUCUUCCUCUUGAAUGGUUUUGAUGCCAACUUUAAGUUCUUUUCCAAUAAAGAUUCAAGUGUAGACAGUUGCACGGCUUCACCCUUUGGGAAGUCCUUUGCUUUAAAUAUUUUCUUUUGCAGGAUUCCCCAUAUACGCUGUCCAAGCUGCUCACUGAUUUCUGUAGUAUGUGGUUUAACAAGUGCAGAUGCCAAGUUUGAGUACAAUGUCAGAACUUGAGGCUUGCCUGGAUUUUCAUGUAGGUAAAUCUCCAGCAAUGAAAGGACUCGAAGUUUGAACAAAACAAGCUGGGAUUGAGCAGUUUCACCCCCAGCCUGAUUCUUCCUCUCUUUGAAAAUUUGGGCAAGGUAGGUGUCCAUUCGGAACAUUGCAUCAUCAUCCAUUCCUCCAUCAGAAUCAUCAGAAUCUAUAGGUGAUUCCUUGACAGCUUCAUCAGCUUCUACUACUGCCUCAGAAUCAUCUGUCUGCUCUUCAAUCUCAACUGUUUCACCUAUCUCAGCUUCAUCAAUUUCAUCUUCUUCAAUACCAAGAAAAUCUUCAUCAUCAUCAUCAUCUUCGCUAUCCGGUUCCUGAUGUCUGGCUGGUUUCAAAUCCUUCUUGAUGACACGCAACAUCUGAAGAAGUCCAUCAUUUGUCACAUUAUCACAGAAACACUUGAAAACCUGAUAGCAUAGACAAAGCCAAGUUAAAAUCAUUAGGUUAAUGAUAAUCACGAGUAAGAAAAAUUAGUGACUGCAGAAAAUUCUUAAGAAACUUCCAUUGCUUCAUCUAAAUAGUUGACAUUACAAAUCCAGCAAAAUAUACAGAAAGCAGCUGACAUUUGAUCAGUGAUUCAACAACUGUUCAAUGGCAGAUCGCAUAGGAGCAGGAGACUGUGGCAACAAUGAAAGUAAUGUAUCCACAAGAACAUCCACUACCUCAGGAGUAUCAUCACUAUCCAAUUCAUUUUCUCCUGAGGAAUCAAGCAGAUCAGAAACUGCAAAAGCUUUCUUACAACAGAUAAUAAGCUCAGACACAGCUUCUGAUAAUUCUCCUGGUCGAAGGAGCACUUGGAGAAGCAACUGAAUCAGUAAAUACUUCAAUGCAUGCAAUCUAUUUGCAUCAGUGCUAAGCCCACAAUUCCUUUCCUCUCUGGACAAUCUAGUUUCCAUUUCUUGCAAUCUUUCCAAUGCCUUUUCAUCCUCAUUACUCAAAGGCCAAAAUAGAGAAACAGAAGGAAUGUUGUGUAAUGUGCUGAGGAACUGCAUGAAGUAAGACCCAAGAUCAUUGGGCUCAAGGCCAAUCGGCAAAGAAUGUGAACCUCUAUCUUUUGAGCACUUGCCAGCAAAAAUUGGAUCUGCUGAAUACACAUCUUGCAAGUGGCAUUUGAGGAGGCUACUUUUGGCCACCUAAAUUUCUCCUGUAAGUCAAAAGAUGUAACUUCAGAUCCAAGACAUGCAAAGAACAGACCUUGCACAGUUAGAAACUUCAAAAUUUCUUUUUGCACCCGAAACUUAGCUUCAUGAUCAAGCUUCAAAUAUUUCAAAAUACUUGGGAGAGACUCCACAACCCAGAUUUUAAAAAAAAUCAGAAUUUCCCAUUGCACAAUCCUUAUAGUCUACUGAACCUAUCUCUGAGUUGUCAUCAGCUGUCUGGCUCUGAUCCGAAGGUUCCUCUGAAGUGUGAUCUUCAUCCACAAACAUGUUCAUUAAAUUCUGAAUAAACAGCAUAGAGCCUGCUUCUGUUUCGAACUCUGCCAUUAAAGUUUUAACCAUUUUUGUUCUUGUGAUAUUAUCAAAUUUUCCAUUGCUAUGUUUUUGUAAAGCCACUAUGACAGCAACCCUUCUGACAUCAUCAUUUCCAACCCAAUCUGACAAUUCUUUAAGAAAAUGCUCUGCAACUUUAUACAGCCAAGAGUCUUUUGUUGAAAGUAUAUCCAUUAGGCACUGAACAAGUUUGUGAGAUAGAACAAUUGGAACAAAAGAUGCAGGUAGCCUGGGAAGAAGCAGAAGCAGAAUAUCAAAUGCCAAGUGCUUACGAUCAUGAGAUGAAAGAAGAAGUGAUCCCUCAAUGAUAACCUCGCAAAAAUUCUGAACAUUCUUUAAAGUUCCUUCUUCAGAAGAGCUACGUAUGCGACGUUUUUUAUGCUUCUUAAAAGAAUUAGAAGCUGACACCGUCCCUUCAGCUUGCAAAACAUCAUCAGGCAAAAGAAUAUUUACCAGGACAGGCCACACAGUGUGAACUCGAGGCCGACAGAAAGUUGAUUCCUUCAAGCAAUUAAUGAGUGAGGACAAAUGGUCUGAUGAAAAAAGUCUGCUAGCGCUAAAUGGAUAUGGCAAAAUAUUGCCGAAUACCAUGUUAUCAACAGAAAUUUUAUCCCGAAUUUUCAAGGCCAAAAGCAGUGCGUCAGGAUAUCCAACAUCUAUAGCUCUGUCAAACCACUCACAAAGACCAGGAGUCUCAAGUAUGUGAUUCAACAAGACAUCAGUUGGCAACUUGUCAACCAAAUCUAAAAUAAUCGCAAUGGCAGGCUCCUGCAAAUAUCGCUUCUUUGAUGCAAGGGAGAGAAGAGCAUUGACGAAUUCCUUGAUGAAUGGAGUCUUUUGAUCCGACAUCCACUCUUGGUUUAUUCUUCCUGAUUGGGCAAGAGCACCAUAUGCAAACAAAUGACCUAAAAGGCAGUCCUUUAUUUCCUGACCCUUCAUUGAUGAAGAAACCUCUAACAAAUCAACUAUUAGCUUCAGUAAUGAGUGCAGUUUGAUGCUAGGAAUUGUGCUGACCAACACAGUCAAACCUAACGCAAAUCCUUGUCUUGCACACUCCCUUGAUGAUGAAGCACCACGAAUGAGCCUACGCACAGCAUAUUUCAAAGAAGGUGCACAAUUAUUCAAACCAUCAUUUUUUUCAGCUUCCAAAGUCAAUCCACCUUCAAUCAAUUCCUUAUUCUCAACCAUCUCAUAUGCAUUCUGAACCGCCUGCAAUUCUGUCACCAAUCUCUCUACAGCAGCUUCUCUCACAGAAACAUCUGCUGAUGCCAAGUCCUUGAAAACACCAAUAUGGAACUCAGGCAAAUCACCAUUGGAUGAUCCCAGUAUCUGCCCCCGAGUUUCAUUAACAUCUUUUUCUACUUCCAUUAGUUUAGGCUUUGAUUCUUGAUUUUCCAAAGCAAGGCGGUGCCUUUCUUUGUCCAAAGCCUUCCUUUCCUUCCUUCUUUCCAUGGGUUUUACUGAACUAGGAACAGCAGGAGCAUCCCCAUGUGCUGUUUCUUCAUCUUUUUUCUUACACUUCUUCAGUUUCUUCUUAAGAGGAUUAGAAGCUACAUUCUCAGUGUUAGAAUCUACCAAAUUAUCUACUUCCUCGACAGAACCAGAACUCCUUUUCUUGCUUCCCAUUCAAGCCAAAAAUUUCCUCUUCUCUUGCUGAAAAAAUUUAUGCGAAACACCAAUACAAGAAUAAGAAUCACAGUGGCAAAGAACGGGAGAACGGAAUCCCAAUGUAAAGUACCCAAUACGACAGUCUGGUUUCGGCAAGCGGCAAUCAAAAACCCUAGCAAAAUUAACAAGGACUGCUUAUAACAAGAUGUAGAAGCAGCUCCACUGCCCAUUCAGUUGCACAG